CGGGGCAUAGCUCAGCUUGGUAGAGCGCUCGCUUUGGGAGCGAGAGGUCGUCGGUUCAAAUCCGGCUGCCCCGA
RNAcentral lists this transfer RNA (74 nucleotides) under Pseudomonadota bacterium. Its description in RNAcentral is "tRNA-Pro". It matches the Rfam family "tRNA". From Rfam's summary of the family: Transfer RNA (tRNA) molecules are approximately 80 nucleotides in length. Their secondary structure includes four short double-helical elements and three loops (D, anti-codon, and T loops). Further hydrogen bonds mediate the characteristic L-shaped molecular structure. tRNAs have two regions of fundamental functional importance: the anti-codon, which is responsible for specific mRNA codon recognition, and the 3' end, to which the tRNAs corresponding amino acid is attached (by aminoacyl-tRNA synthetases). tRNAs cope with the degeneracy of the genetic code in two manners: having more than one tRNA (with a specific anti-codon) for a particular amino acid; and 'wobble' base-pairing, i.e. permitting non-standard base-pairing at the 3rd anti-codon position. Lineage: Bacteria; Pseudomonadati; Pseudomonadota. RNAcentral also lists the same sequence under 1 other name. The record is from RNAcentral.